GACGAACGCUGGCGGCGUGCUUAACACAUGCAAGUCGAACGGAAAGGCCCUGCUUUUGUGGGGUGCUCGAGUGGCGAACGGGUGAGUAACACGUGAGUAACCUGCCCUUGACUUUGGGAUAACUUCAGGAAACUGGGGCUAAUACCGGAUAGGAGCUCCUGCUGCAUGGUGGGGGUUGGAAAGUUUCGGCGGUUGGGGAUGGACUCGCGGCUUAUCAGCUUGUUGGUGGGGUAGUGGCUUACCAAGGCUUUGACGGGUAGCCGGCCUGAGAGGGUGACCGGCCACAUUGGGACUGAGAAACGGACCAGACUCAUACGGGAGGCAGCAGUGGGGAAUAUUGCACAAUGGGCGGAAGCCUGAUGCAGCAACGCCGCGUGCGGGAUGCCGGCCUUCGGGUUGUAAACCGCUUUCGCCUGUGACGAAGCGUGAGUGACGGUAAUGUGUAAAGAAGCACCGGCUAACUACGUG
Molecule: ribosomal RNA, 468 nt
Filed under: uncultured bacterium
Lineage: Bacteria
Description: partial 16S ribosomal RNA
Rfam family: Bacterial small subunit ribosomal RNA
Source: RNAcentral